This 245-nucleotide ribosomal RNA is filed under the name uncultured Lentibacillus sp. Its description in RNAcentral is "partial 16S ribosomal RNA". It matches the Rfam family "Bacterial small subunit ribosomal RNA", at positions 524 to 768 of the family's 1533-position model. The record is from RNAcentral. Lineage: Bacteria; Bacillati; Bacillota; Bacilli; Caryophanales; Bacillaceae.
UACGAGGGGGGCAAGCGUUGUUCGGAAUUAUUGGGCGUAAAGAGCACGCAGGCGGUCUUGUAAGUUUCGAGUGACAGGUGGUGGCUUAACUGCCACAGGGCUUGGAAAACUGUAAGACUUGAGAACUUCAGAGGGAUGCGGAAUUCCAGGUGGAGCGGUGAAAUGCGUAGAGAUCUGGAAGAACACCAAAGGCGAAGGCAGCAUCCUGGGAAGAAUCUGACGCUGAGGUGCGAAAGCCAGGGGAG